Molecule: small nucleolar RNA, 140 nt
Organism: Dunckerocampus dactyliophorus (ringed pipefish)
Lineage: Eukaryota; Metazoa; Chordata; Actinopteri; Syngnathiformes; Syngnathidae
Product: small nucleolar RNA SNORA47
Exons: 1
Source: RefSeq, a predicted model, not a curated record
UGGAGGUCUGAGAAGGUUAAGCAGCUGGUGUGGUGCUGUUCCUAACUGGUUACAACCUCCAACAUUAACAGACAAGCCACUCAUUGAAGAAGCUCAGAUGAUGUAUGCUGAGCUUGAUUUUGUGUGUUUGGGAACAUGUU